AGAGGAUAUAGAUUGCAGUGUGGAAAUACAGAAUCGCCAGAGUGAGGAACAUUUUGAUCGAUCCAGUAGCAAGUUUACCUUGUCGGGGAUGCUAAAUUUCAUCGACGGAUUAUGGUCAAGUUGUGGAGACGAAAGAAUCAUAAUAUUUACAACGAACCACAAGGAACGGUUGGAUCCUGCAUUGCUGCGGCCGGGUCGGAUGGAUGUCCAUAUAAACAUGUCGUAUUGUAGCCCUCAAGGGCUGAAAGUGUUGGCGUCGAAUUACCUAGGCGGGGAAGCGACUGAGCAUCGUAUGUACGGAGAAAUAGAAGAGUUGAUCGGAGAUAUGGAAGUAUCACCGGCAGAGAUUGCGGA
This 354-nucleotide unclassified non-coding RNA is filed under the name Hevea brasiliensis (rubber tree). Lineage: Eukaryota; Viridiplantae; Streptophyta; Magnoliopsida; Malpighiales; Euphorbiaceae. The record is from RNAcentral.